UUUUUUUUUUUUUUUUUUUAGUAGAGAUGGGGUUUCACCACAUUGGCCAGGCUGGUCUCGAACUCCUGACCUGAGGUGAUCCGCCCGCCUCGGCCUCCCAAAGUGCUGGGAUUACAGGCAUGAGCCACCGUGCCCGGCCUUUUACAGAUAAUUUUAAGUCAAACUUUGCAUAGUUUUCCAAGUUGAGUUAAAAUUCUCUAUGAAAAUAAUUUAUCUAUCAUUUACCAAAUGUAAUACUGAAAAUAUGUGAAAGAUACUGAUUCACAGAUUCAACAAACCCAAAGAAUCCCAAGCAUCAUAAAUACGAAGAAAUACUCAACUAGGUUCAUCUUAGUGAAGUUGUCAAAAAUAGAGAUCAUAAAAUUAGCAUAGAAAGCAGCAAAAAUUAGAUACUUUCUCGUCCAUGUGGUAAUGUAUUAGAACUUAAUUCCUUUUUAUGGCUGAAUAAUACUCCAUCGUAUGUAUAUACUACAUUUUGUUUAUCCAUUCAUCUGUUUUUUGGACACUUGGAUUGUUUCCAUUUUUGGCUAUGUGAAUAAUGCCACUCUGAAAAUUCAUGUACAAGUAUCUGCUUUCAGUUUCUUUUGAAAACCUGCUUAUUUUUGACAUAUCUUUUGUUUAUAAGCACAAAUCUAUUUAGAAUAAAGCCAGUGGAUAUUUUAUUUCCACAAUCCUUUCAUAAAUACUGUAAGCUCUUACUCUGAGCCAUCAAUAGUUACCAAGAGCACUAUAUAAUAAUCAGAAGCAGCAGCCAGCAGUUAUCUACUGACAAACUCGUUUUUUAUUUUAUUUUAUUUUUUGAGACGGAAUCUUGCCCUGUCUUCCAGGCUGGAGUGCAAUGGCAUGAUCUUGGCUCACCGCAACCUCCGCCUCCCGGGUUCAAAUUAUUCUCCUGCCUCAGCCUUCCGAGUGGCUGGGAUU
RNAcentral lists this non-coding RNA (921 nucleotides) under Pan troglodytes (chimpanzee). Lineage: Eukaryota; Metazoa; Chordata; Mammalia; Primates; Hominidae. The record is from RNAcentral.